RNAcentral lists this ribosomal RNA (464 nucleotides) under uncultured bacterium. RNAcentral describes it as "partial 16S ribosomal RNA". It matches the Rfam family "Bacterial small subunit ribosomal RNA", at positions 338 to 795 of the family's 1533-position model. The record is from RNAcentral.
CCUACGGGGGGCAGCAGUAGGGAAUUUUCGUCAAUGGGCGCAAGCCUGAACGAGCGAUGCCGCGUGAGUGAAGAAGGCCUUCGGGUCGUAAAGCUCUGUUGCGGGGGAAAAAGGCAGCAUCAGGAAAUGCGUGCUGACUGAUGGUGCCCCGCCCGACAGUCACGGCUAACUACGUGCCAGCAGCCGCGGUAAUACGGAGGUGGCGAGCGUUAUCCGGCAUGAUUGGGCGUAAGGGGUUCGCGGGCGGUCCUGCAAGUCGGGAGUGAAACGCAUGAGCUCAACUCAGGCAUGGCUUUGGAAACUGGAGGACUGGAGAGCAGGAGAGGGCGGUGGAACUCCAUGUGUAGCGGUAAAAUGCGUAGAUAUAUGGAAGAACACCAGUGGCGAAGGCGGCCGCCUGGCCUGUGGCUGACGCUGAGGCACGAAAGCGUGGGGAGCAAAUAGGAUUAGAUACCCGUGUAGUC